This 482-nucleotide ribosomal RNA is filed under the name uncultured bacterium. RNAcentral describes it as "bacterial SSU rRNA". It matches the Rfam family "Bacterial small subunit ribosomal RNA", at positions 791 to 1275 of the family's 1533-position model. The record is from RNAcentral.
UAGUCCACGCCCUAAACGAUGAUUACUCGAUAUUGGCGAUACACAGUCAGUGUCCAAGCGAAAGCGUUAAGUAAUCCACCUGGGGAGUACGUUCGCAAGAAUGAAACUCAAAGGAAUUGACGGGGGCCCGCACAAGCGGUGGAGCAUGUGGUUUAAUUCGAUGAUACGCGAGGAACCUUACCAGGGCUUAAAUGCAGAACGACCGAUCUGGAAACAGAUCUUUCUUCGGACGGUUUGCAAGGUGCUGCAUGGUUGUCGUCAGCUCGUGCCGUGAGGUGUCGGGUUAAGUCCCAUAACGAGCGCAACCCCUAUUUCUAGUUGCUAACAGGUUAAGCUGAGGACUCUAGAGAAACUGCCGGCGUAAGCCGAGAGGAAGGUGGGGAUGACGUCAAAUCAUCACGGGCCCUUACGUCCUGGGGCCACACACGUGCUACAAUGGUCGGUACAGAGGGGCAGCUACCCCGCGAGGGGAUGCGAAUCUC